Molecule: non-coding RNA, 73 nt
Organism: Trichonephila inaurata madagascariensis
Lineage: Eukaryota; Metazoa; Arthropoda; Arachnida; Araneae; Nephilidae
Source: the annotation of a GenBank genome assembly
CUCUCUGUGGCGCAAUGGAUAGCGCGUUGGACUUCGCUUUCAAAGGUCGUGGGUUCGAAUUCCUCCUGGGAUA